Molecule: ribosomal RNA, 390 nt
Filed under: uncultured bacterium
Lineage: Bacteria
Description: bacterial SSU rRNA
Rfam family: Bacterial small subunit ribosomal RNA
Source: RNAcentral
AUUGAACGCUGGCGGCGUGCUUAACACAUGCAAGUCGUGCGGUAACAGGCGUAGCAAUACGUGCUGACGAGCGGCGAACGGGUGCGUAAUACAUGGGAAUCUGCCUUUUAGUGGGGAAUAACCCGGCGAAAGCCGGGCUAAUGCCGCAUAAGAUCUUCGGAUGAAAGCGGGGGAUCGUAAGACCUCGCGCUGAUAGAUGAGCCCAUGCCGGAUUAGCUAGUGGUGAGGUAACGGCUCACCAAGGCGACGAUCCGUAGCUGGUCUGAGAGGACGGCCAGCCACACUGGGACUGAGACACGGCCCAGACUCCUACGGGAGGCAGCAGGUGGGGAAUAUUGGACAAGUGGGGGAAACCCUGAUCCAGCGACGCCGCGUGUGUGAAGAAGGCCU